ACACUCAGGGGGAGGUGGAAGAGAGAAAGCAGUGAACAGAUUCAUCUUCCCUUCUAUAUCUGAAAGGAUAAGCAGGCUGUGCUUUCCAGAAAUGCGUGACCUAUCCAAUCCUUCCUCUCAUGGAAACACCAACUCAUCCAUGCCCUCUGUGCUGAAACUUCGUCUCAGCCUGCUGGAAUCACCUGCACCCCAUGGGAACUGUAGCCAUAUCUUCAGUCCUGUGAGCCCCCGUCAUGGCCUGUCACAGGAGUAAAUGAGGAGUAAGGCCCAGAAUACUCAGUACCUCUCAAUGACCCUCAGACGCUGUAGGAAGAGGAUUGGUUCACCUUUUAACCCAGAAUUUCUCACAUUGAAUGGACAGGAUGCAUUCCAAGAGGCCAGAGUAUGUGCAUCUCAGCUCCUGAUGGUUUCCACCACCACCAUUACUUUCUCUAUGUCAAGAUACCUGGGAAGCCGGAGUUGUUUUAAGGCAGAGUAUCAUAUCGCAUCAAAACCGCUCCAUAAGUCCUGCCACUCCACGUGCAAUGCCAUGAACUUGAAGAAACUGCUGGUAAGAGAAAGCAAAUGCUGUGACCAGGCAACUGCUGCAAACCAAUGGGCUUUGGGGAACUGUGCUUCCCUUCAGAAAGGAAAGAGUAUUUAACGAUGAAAAGGAAGGUGGAUUUUCCCUACUCAUGCUUCCUAGAGAUUUGGUGAGGAUUUGUUGAGUCAUGGGACAUUUCAGCUUGCCAAGCUUCUUUAGCUUUAGCACGUGUUUCCACCAGUGUCCCUUAACGGAGAGGAUGACUAUGUCACUGAAGAAGUGGAGGGGCUGAAAAUGGACUCAGCUCUUGGCCCCUGUAGAGACUGCAAGACUCCGUGCACAACGUGACAGUCGGGGCUUCCUCUGAGCACUGCGCCGUUCAGCCCUAUUGCGCAACCUGCCACGCCCUGUUACUGUAAAUGGAACACCGGCUGUGAGCUGGUCAAGGCCCUGCCAUGACAAGGCCACUUGCAUAGGACUCCAAAUUAAAAAAAAAAAAAA
This is a long non-coding RNA of Homo sapiens (human), 1024 nucleotides long. Ensembl annotates it as long intergenic non-protein coding RNA 607. The record is from Ensembl. Lineage: Eukaryota; Metazoa; Chordata; Mammalia; Primates; Hominidae.